GACAGUUUGGCCGAGUGGUCUAAGGCGCCAGAUUUAGGCUCUGGUCCGAAAGGGCAUGGGUUCAAAUCCCAUAGCUGUCA
Non-coding RNA from Nelumbo nucifera (sacred lotus), 80 nucleotides. NCBI's taxonomy places the organism in Eukaryota, Viridiplantae, Streptophyta, Magnoliopsida, Proteales, Nelumbonaceae. The record is from Rfam.